Non-coding RNA from Xyrichtys novacula (pearly razorfish), 422 nucleotides. The record is from the annotation of a GenBank genome assembly. NCBI's taxonomy places the organism in Eukaryota, Metazoa, Chordata, Actinopteri, Labriformes, Labridae.
CCUGGUACAAAGUGGAGAGUCCCCUGGCUUAGAAAACAGGUGGGAGAGCCGGGAGGAGGAGGAGGAGGAGGUGGUGAAGGGGGGGAGUGAAGGUGAGGGGGAGUGGUGGGGAGGGGGUUAUGCGCCUAGGGGUGUGGUGCCAUCCCGGACUUUAAAACGCGCUGAGCGGCCAAGUUGUCCGUGACUUUUUACGACAGAGAGAAGAGUGAACAGAGCGCCCUCCCUCCCUCCCUCCUCCUCCUCCUCUCUCUCCCUCCCUCCUCCCUCUCCUCUACGCUGUGACUCAGUCCUUCUGGUAGCGCUGGCAGAGCUCCCUCCCUCCCUCCCCCGUCUCCCCUGUACUUUACUCUAACAAUCACCCUCUUUCUUCCCCACUUCUCUUUGUCGCACCUUCUCCAAAAUCAGCUCUAAUUCUUUUUAAA